GACGAACGCUGGCGGCGUGCCUAACACAUGCAAGUCGAGCGGGGAUUUAAGUGGAAGUUCUUCGGAAUGGAGAUUUAAAUUCUAGCGGCGGACGGGUGAGUAACGCGUGAACAAUCUGUCCCGGACAGGGGGAUAACACUUGGAAACAGGUGCUAAUACCGCAUAAGACCACGGCCUCGCAUGGGGCUGAGGUAAAAGGAGCAAUCCGGUUCGGGGUGAGUUCGCGUCCGAUUAGCUAGUUGGUGAGGUAACGGCCCACCAAGGCGACGAUCGGUAGCCGGCCUGAGAGGGUGAACGGCCACAUUGGAACUGGGAGACGGUCCAAACUCCUACGGGAGGCAGCAGUGGGGAAUAUUGGGCAAUGGGCGAAAGCCUGACCCAGCAACGCCGCGUGAGGGAAGAAGGUUUUCGGAUUGUAAACCUCUGUCCUAUGGGACGAAGGAAGUGACGGUACCAUAGGAGGAAGCCCCGGCUAACUACGUG
Molecule: ribosomal RNA, 483 nt
Filed under: uncultured bacterium
Lineage: Bacteria
Description: partial 16S ribosomal RNA
Rfam family: Bacterial small subunit ribosomal RNA
Source: RNAcentral